AACGGCCGCGGUAUCCUAACCGUGCAAAGGUAGCAUAAUCACUUGCCUAUUAAUUGUAGGCUAGAAUGAAUGGGUUAACGAAAUAAAGACUGUCUCAAUUAAUCACCUAAAAAUUACUAUCUAUCUGAAGAAGAGUAGAUAAUCUCGAAGGACAAGAAGACCCUAUAGAGCUUAAUUUUAAUUAUAGAACUACACUAUAAAAAUAUUCGGUUGGGGCGACCCAGGGCUAAUCAAUCACCCACUACAUAAAAGAUAAAUUAAUCAAGUAAUUGACCCCUAAAAGAUCAUAAGAACAAGCUACCUUAGGGAUAACAGGCUAAUCCCACUCAAGAGUCCUUAUCAACAGUGGGGUUUGGCACCUCGAUGUUGGCUUAGG
RNAcentral lists this ribosomal RNA (376 nucleotides) under Metaphire sieboldi (earthworm). RNAcentral's name for it is "partial 16S ribosomal RNA". It matches the Rfam family "Bacterial large subunit ribosomal RNA", at positions 1926 to 2541 of the family's 2925-position model. The record is from RNAcentral. Lineage: Eukaryota; Metazoa; Annelida; Clitellata; Crassiclitellata; Megascolecidae.